Molecule: ribosomal RNA, 492 nt
Filed under: uncultured bacterium
Lineage: Bacteria
Description: partial 16S ribosomal RNA
Rfam family: Bacterial small subunit ribosomal RNA
Source: RNAcentral
AGUGAACGCUGGCGGUAGGCCUAACACAUGCAAGUCGAACGGCAGCACAGUAAGAGCUUGCUCUUACGGGUGGCGAGUGGCGGACGGGUGAGGAAUACAUCGGAAUCUACUUUUUUGUGGGGGAUAACGUAGGGAAACUUACGCUAAUACCGCAUACGACCUACGGGUGAAAGCAGGGGAUCUUCGGACCUUGCGCGAUUGAAUGAGCCGAUGUCGGAUUAGCUAGUUGGCGGGGUAAAGGCCCACCAAGGCGACGAUCCGUAGCUGGUCUGAGAGGAUGAUCAGCCACACUGGAACUGAGACACGGUCCAGACUCCUACGGGAGGCAGCAGUGGGGAAUAUUGGACAAUGGGUGCAAGCCUGAUCCAGCCAUACCGCGUGGGUGAAGAAGGCCUUCGGGUUGUAAAGCCCUUUUGUUGGGAAAGAAAAGCAGCAGGUUAAUACCCCGCUGUUCUGACGGUACCCAAAGAAUAAGCACCGGCUAACUUCGUG